This 440-nucleotide ribosomal RNA is filed under the name uncultured bacterium. RNAcentral describes it as "partial 16S ribosomal RNA". It matches the Rfam family "Bacterial small subunit ribosomal RNA", at positions 338 to 795 of the family's 1533-position model. The record is from RNAcentral.
CCUACGGGAGGCAGCAGUGGGGGAUAUUGCACAAUGGGGGGAACCCUGAUGCAGCGACGCCGCGUGGGUGAAGGAGCGUUUCGGCGCGUAAAGCCCUAUCGGCAGGGAAGAAGAUGACGGUACCUGGCCAAGAAGCCCCGGCUAACUACGUGCCAGCAGCCGCGGUAAUACGUCGGGGGCAAGCGUUAUCCGGAUUUACGGGGUGUAAAGGGGGCGCAGACGGGAAUGCAAGCCAGGAGUGAAAGCCCGGGGCCCAACCCCGGGACUGCUCUUGAAACUGGAUGGCUGGAGUACAGGAGAGGCAGGCGGAAUUCCUAGUGUAGCGGUGAAAUGCGUAGAUAUUAGGAGGAACACCGGUGGCGAAGGCGGCCUGCUGGACUGUGACUGACGUUGAGGCCCGAAGGCGUGGGGAGCAAACAGGAUUAGAUACCCUUGUAGUC